CCUACGGGAUGCACCAGUGGGGAAUAUUGCACAAUGGGCGCAAGCCUGAUGCAGCCAUGCCGCGUGUAUGAAGAAGGCCUUCGGGUUGUAAAGUACUUUCAGCGAGGAGGAAGGCAUUAAGGUUAAUAAGCUUGAUGAUUGACGUUACUCGCAGAAGAAGCACCGGCUAACUCCGUGCCAGCAGCCGCGGUAAUACGGAGGGCGCAAGCGUUAAUCGGAAUUACUGGGCGUAAAGCGCACGCAGGCGGUCUGUCAAGUCGGAUGUGAAAUCCCCGGGCUCAACCUGGGAACUGCAUCCGAAACUGGCAGGCUAGAGUCUUGUAGAGGGGGGUAGAAUUCCAGGUGUAGCGGUGAAAUGCGUAGAGAUCUGGAGGAAUACCGGUGGCGAAGGCGGCCCCCUGGACAAAGACUGACGCUCAGGUGCGAAAGCGUGGGGAGCAAACAGGAUUAGAUACCCUUGUAGUC
RNAcentral lists this ribosomal RNA (465 nucleotides) under uncultured bacterium. Its description in RNAcentral is "bacterial SSU rRNA". It matches the Rfam family "Bacterial small subunit ribosomal RNA", at positions 338 to 795 of the family's 1533-position model. The record is from RNAcentral.